RNAcentral lists this ribosomal RNA (3036 nucleotides) under Lobosphaera incisa. RNAcentral describes it as "bacterial LSU rRNA". It matches the Rfam family "Bacterial large subunit ribosomal RNA". Lineage: Eukaryota; Viridiplantae; Chlorophyta; Trebouxiophyceae; Trebouxiales; Trebouxiaceae. The record is from RNAcentral.
UCAAAUAACUAAAGGCUUACGGUGGAUACCUAGGCAUUCAGAGACGAAGAAGGGCGUGGAAACCGACGAAACGCUUCGAGGAGCUGGAAACAAGCUUUGAUUCGAAGAUUCCCGAAUAGGGCAACCUUUUCAACUACCUAUUGAAUUCAUAGAUAGGAAAGAGAUAACCCAGUGAAUUGAAACAUCUUAGUAGCUGGAGGAAAAAAAAGCAAAAGCGAUUCCCUUAGUAGCGGCGAGCGGACGGGGAACAGCCUAAACCGAUUCGGUUUUCGAAUCGGGGUCGUGGGAAGAAUUCAUAAAAAAAUAUGAGCUGAGACGAAGCAGUUGAAUCCUGCACCAUAGAUGGUGAAAGUCCCGUAGUCGAAAGCAUAAUAUUUUUUUUCUUAUCCCGAGUAGCAUGGGACACGUGAAAUCCCGUGUGAAUCAGCGAGGACCACCUCGUAAGGCUAAAUACUCCUGAAUGACCGAUAGUGAAGCAGUACCGUGAGGGAAAGGUGAAAAAGAACCCCUGUAGGGGAGUGAAAAAGAACAUGAAACCGUAAGCUAUCAAACAGUGGGAGGGAUGAAAUCCUGACCGCGUGCCUGUUGAAGAAUGAGCCGGCGACUUAUAGGAAGUGGCUUGGUUAAGAAAAAAAUUCGAAGCCAUAGCAAAAGCGAGUCUGAAUAGGGCGAAAUAGUCACUUCUUAUGGACCCGAACCCGGGUGAUCUAACCACGACCAGGAUGAAGCUUGGGUAAAACCAAGUGGAAGUCCGAACCGACCGAUGUUGAAAAAUCGGCGGAUGAGUUAUGGUUAGGGGUGAAAUGCCAAUCGAACUCGGAGCUAGCUGGUUCUCCCCGAAAUGCGUUGAGGCGCAGCGGUUGACGAAUUAGGGCUGCCUAGGGGUAAAGCACUGUUUCGGUGCGGGCUGCGAGAGCGGUACCAAAUCGUAGCAAACUAAGAAUACUAGGCAUUGCUUUCCGUCAGCCAGUGAGACGGUGGGGGAUAAGCUUCAUCGUCGAGAGGGAAACAGCCCAGAUCACCAGUUAAGGCCCCAAAAUGACCGCUAAGUGGCAAAGGAUGUGAGAAUGCUAAGACAACCAGGAGGUUUGCUUAGAAGCAGCCAUCCUUUAAAGAGUGCGUAAUAGCUCACUGGUAAAGCGUUCUUGCGCCGAAAAUUUACGGGACUAAGCGGUCUGCCGAAGCUGUGAGAUUUUUUUAUGAAAUAAACAUAAGCGUUAACAUAAAAUCUUUGGUUUUAUGUAAUGCUAGCACAUAUGCAAAUCAUUGAUUUGCAGUGCGAGUUAUUUAUGUUAAAUAAAAAAAUCGGUAGGGGAGCGUUCCGCUCUAGGGUGAAGUAAUAACGAAAGUUUUUAUGGACAAAGCGGAAGUGAGAAUGUCGGCUUGAGUAACGCAAACAUUGGUGAGAAUCCAAUGCCCCGAAAACCUAAGGGUUCCUCUACUAGGUUCGUCCAUGGAGGGUGAGUCAGGACCUAAGGCAAGGCCGAAAGGCGUAGUCGAUGGAGAACAGGUUAAUAUUCCUGUACUGGUUUUUGAUUGGUACCGAGGGACGAAGAAGGUCUAGGUUGGCCAAUAUUGGAUUUUGGUGGAAAAGCUCAAAGUUGUAAAAGAUAGAAUAAAAACUAUUCUUGAUAUUUUUAAAUAUCCAGCUAAGACUUGAUACGGUUUUAUUCCCUGGGCUGUUUCAUAACGGAACAGUCUAUAGUAAAACUCAACCGCGGAUCAAACUUCCUAGAAAAGCUCGAACUACUAUUAAAGUCAAGAAUCACCUGUACCCGAAACCGACACAGGUAGGUGGGUAGAGUAUACCUAGGGGCGCGAGAUAACUCUCUCUAAGGAACUCGGCAAAAUGGCCCCGUAACUUCGGGAGAAGGGGUGCCCCCAAAUAUUGGGGGCCGCAGUGACCAGGCCCAGGCGACUGUUUACCAAAAACACAGGUCUCCGCUAAGUCGUAAGACAAGAUAUGGGGGCUGACGCCUGCCCAGUGCCGGAAGGUGAAGGAAGUUGGUUAUUCUUCGGAAAAAGCUGACAACCGAAGCCCCGGUGAACGGCGGCCGUAACUCUGACGGUCCUAAGGUAGCGAAAUUCCUUGUCGGGUAAGUUCCGACCCGCACGAAAGGCGUAACGAUCUGGGCGCUGUCUCGGAGAGAGACUCGGUGAAAUAGACAUGUCCGUGAAGAUGCGGACUUCUUACACCUGGACAGAAAGACCCUAUGAAGCUUUACUGUAGCCUGGAAUUGGGUUUGGGCUUUUCUUGCGCAGUCUAAGUGGGAGGCGUUGAAAAUUUUCUUCCGGGAAAAUUAGAGCCAUCAGUGAGAGACCACUCUGGAAGAGCUAGAAUUCUAAUAGCGUUCCUUGAAUCAGGACGCUUGACAGUUUCAGGUGGGCAGUUUGACUGGGGCGGUCGCCUCCUAAAAGGUAACGGAGGUGUGCAAAGGUUCCCUCAGGCUGGACGGAAAUCAGCCUAAGAGUGUAAAGGCAGAAGGGAGCUUGACUGCAAGACCUACAAGUCGAGCAGGGGCGAAAGCCGGCCUUAGUGAUCCGACGGUACCGAGUGGAAGGGCCGUCGCUCAACGGAUAAAAGUUACUCUAGGGAUAACAGGCUGAUCUUCCCCAAGAGUUCACAUCGACGGGAAGGUUUGGCACCUCGAUGUCGGCUCAUCGCAACCUGGGGCGGUAGUACGUCCCAAGGGUUGGGCUGUUCGCCCAUGAAAGCGGUACGUGAGCUGGGUUCAGAACGUCGUGAGACAGUUUGGUCCAUAUCCGGUGUAAGCGUUAGAGUAUUGAGAGGAGCCUUCCAUAGUACGAGAGGACCUGGAAGGACGUACCUCUGGUGUACCAGUUCUCGUGCCAACGGGAUACGCUGGGUAGCCAUGUACGGAAGGGAUAACUGCUGAAAGCAUCUAAGUAGGAAGCCCACCUCAAGAUGAGUACUCUCUAGAGGUCACAGCAAGAAAAGCUGUUUGAUAGGUGUCAAGUGUAAAGCCAGUAAUGGUUGUAGCUGAGACACACUAACAGACCCAUUGAGUUUGACCA